GAAACAGCUGUUGCCCCAUUGAUCACCAGUGUUUAUUUGAUGAUCUGGCUGGCGAGGCUUGCUUCCUCAUUGUUCCAUGUGUGCCCGUCAAAGACAUCCUCUUAGUCAAAAAGAAUAGCCUUCUGUGACAGAAGCACAUUUAUACUGUUCCUCCAUGAAGGGUGUAUGGGCAAAUCAGCUCCUUUGCUAGGACAAGUUUCCAAGGUCCAUUUGUACAAGUCUGUGGAGUAGUCAAGCUUUUAAAACUUUAGGUGUGUCCAAAUGAGAUACUGCUCCUGGUAGUCUGACUUUCUAA
This 295-nucleotide small nuclear RNA is filed under the name Phascolarctos cinereus (koala). Its description in RNAcentral is "7SK RNA (ENSPCIG00000029730.2)". It matches the Rfam family "7SK RNA". From Rfam's summary of the family: 7SK was discovered as an abundant small nuclear RNA in the mid-70s but a possible function has only recently been suggested. The record is from RNAcentral. Lineage: Eukaryota; Metazoa; Chordata; Mammalia; Diprotodontia; Phascolarctidae.